Molecule: ribosomal RNA, 483 nt
Filed under: uncultured bacterium
Lineage: Bacteria
Description: bacterial SSU rRNA
Rfam family: Bacterial small subunit ribosomal RNA
Source: RNAcentral
AUUGAACGCUGGCGGAAUGCUUUACACAUGCAAGUCGAACGGCAGCACGGGGCAACCUGGUGGCGAGUGGCGAACGGGUGAGUAAUAUAUCGGAACGUGCCCAAUCGGUGGGGGAUAACGUAGCGAAAGUUACGCUAAUACCGCAUACGAUCUACGGAUGAAAGCGGGGGAUCGCAAGACCUCGCGCGAAUGGAGCGGCCGAUAUCAGAUUAGGUAGUUGGUGGGGUAAAGGCUCACCAAGCCAACGAUCUGUAGCUGGUCUGAGAGGACGACCAGCCACACUGGAACUGAGACACGGUCCAGACUCCUACGGGAGGCAGCAGUGGGGAAUUUUGGACAAUGGGCGCAAGCCUGAUCCAGCCAUUCCGCGUGCAGGAUGAAGGCCUUCGGGUUGUAAACUGCUUUUGUACGGAACGAAACGGUCUGCCCUAAUACGGCGGGCUAAUGACGGUACCGUAAGAAUAAGCACCGGCUAACUACGUG